GGGGAUUUAGCUCAGCGGUAGAGUGCUUGCCUAGCAAGCAUAAGGCCCUGGGUUCGGUCCCCAGCUCCA
RNAcentral lists this transfer RNA (69 nucleotides) under Rattus norvegicus (Norway rat). It matches the Rfam family "tRNA". From Rfam's summary of the family: Transfer RNA (tRNA) molecules are approximately 80 nucleotides in length. Their secondary structure includes four short double-helical elements and three loops (D, anti-codon, and T loops). The record is from Rfam by way of RNAcentral. Lineage: Eukaryota; Metazoa; Chordata; Mammalia; Rodentia; Muridae.